RNAcentral lists this ribosomal RNA (499 nucleotides) under uncultured bacterium. RNAcentral's name for it is "bacterial SSU rRNA". It matches the Rfam family "Bacterial small subunit ribosomal RNA", at positions 28 to 533 of the family's 1533-position model. The record is from RNAcentral.
GACGAACGCUUGCGGCGUGCCUAAGAAAUGCAAGUCGAGCGAGGUUUAGGCUUCGGCCGACGACCUAGCGGCGAACGGUCGCGUAACACGUAAGCAACCUGCCCUAAAGUUGGGGAUAGCCCGCCGAAAGGCGGAUUAAUACCGAAUGUGGAUAUGAUUUCGCAUGUGAUUAUAUCUGAAGCAGCGAUGCGCUUUAGGAUGGGCUUGCGGCCUAUCAGUUAGUUGGUGUGGGUAACGGCCUACCAAGACGACGACGGGUAGCUGGUCUGAGAGGAUGGUCAGCCGGAUUGGGACUGAGACACGGCCCAGACUCCUACGGGGGGCAGCAGUGGGGGAUCUUGCACAAUGGGCGAAAGCCUGAUGCAGCGACGCCGCGUGAGCGAAGAAGGCCUUCGGGUUGUAAAGACUCUGUCUGGAGGACGGAAACAAAAUAGACGGUAACCUCCGGACGGAAGCCACGGCUAAACUACGUGCCAGCAGCCGCGGUAAAUCACGUGUA